This 141-nucleotide ribosomal RNA is filed under the name uncultured eukaryote. Its description in RNAcentral is "partial 18S ribosomal RNA". It matches the Rfam family "Eukaryotic small subunit ribosomal RNA", at positions 1299 to 1453 of the family's 1831-position model. The record is from RNAcentral.
UGGUGGAGUGAUUUGUCUGGUUAAUUCCGUUAACGAACGAGACCCCCGCCUGCUAAAUAGCACAGGGAAUGCUCAGCAUUGCCUGCGGCUUCUUAGAGGGACUUUCAGUGUUUAACUGAAGGAAGUUGGGGGCGAAUAACA